UGAUGAUUACUUAAAAGGAAUCGAACAAUAAAGAUGUUAUGUAGAUCUUCAAAUACAUGUGAUGAGAAUCAUUACAAACAGUAGUGAAGCAUAAAAUGAAUAAAUAUAUUCAGAAGUAGCCCAAAUGCAAAACUAGCACAAGAUGUAUAUACAUAAUUCUCGAAAAGGAAAAAGAAAGGGCAUGUAGUUAUGUGCUUUUGUAAAAUAAGAUUCUUUUAAAA
This 221-nucleotide unclassified non-coding RNA is filed under the name Hevea brasiliensis (rubber tree). Lineage: Eukaryota; Viridiplantae; Streptophyta; Magnoliopsida; Malpighiales; Euphorbiaceae. The record is from RNAcentral.